GGGAUGGUAGCUCAGCAGUAGAGCAUUUGCCUGUCAUGCAGAAAACUCUAGGUUCCAUCUCC
Molecule: transfer RNA, 62 nt
Filed under: Cricetulus griseus (Chinese hamster)
Lineage: Eukaryota; Metazoa; Chordata; Mammalia; Rodentia; Cricetidae
Rfam family: tRNA
About the family: Transfer RNA (tRNA) molecules are approximately 80 nucleotides in length. Their secondary structure includes four short double-helical elements and three loops (D, anti-codon, and T loops).
Source: Rfam by way of RNAcentral